UCUCUCCCUCUCUCUCUCUCUCAACCCCAUGGACUUUUGGGGCAUGGCCUUUCAGGCUAUGGUUUUUCUCUCUCUCUCUCUCCAUGCUUAGAAUAAUGUGUUGAAAUGCUUCUUAAUGCUUUGAAACUUCAGCUUGAUGCCUUGUAUGUGAAACCGGUAAUUUUACCAAGUAAUUAAACACAAUUCUAGUUAGAAUUCCAAUCUCAUGACAACUAUUUCAUCUUAGUCAGCUAAACAACUCAUAAUUGUUGCAUAUGGUUCAACCAUAUUCUCUUGCAUGUUACUAUUUAUCUUAUGGAGUCAGAUCUACAUUAUAAUAGGCUAAUUCCAUGGUCUUUUUACAAGUUGAAUGUGAUGUAUAUAUAAUAAACUGUAUAUACACUAUUCAAAUAUGUCUGUCCACGACACUACAGCCUCUUCUACUUGGCUGUGGUGCCGUUCACCCUUCUCUCUUCCUGUAUGAAUUUCUGCUUCUCUGUGAAGCCAAAUACCAAUACUCCAGGUUUAAGGUGUUAUAUAACCUUUCUAUUAUUUAGUGGAUGGUGUGAACAAUCAUAAUCCAUUACAAACAAAUGAAAACACUCAGCUAGAUCGUUGGUGUUCAGACAGAGGAGAAGUUGUAGAGGUGUUUGGCUGAUGGAUAUUGGUCCUCAGCAUCUUCUAUUGACCGGUGUGUGAUACAAACUCUACUUUCAUUUAAAUCAAUCUAAAUGAUUGACUGUGUUUAAUCCCUGUCUGUCUCAUUGUUCAGGUACCAGUAAUGCUGUUAAGUUGCCCAUCAGUCACAUCAUGCUCUUUGUGGCACUGACCAUCAUGGCUACCAUAGUCACUAUUCACACAAGGAGGAACCGCCCACCCAAGGCUCUGCCCCCACAAGCAGAAGAAGCCUCUGGUAUUGAGAUUCAUGUCCUGGAGGAAUGACCCCCUGUUCCUCACUCUUCUCCCUGUGCUGGACUAACUGUCUGUAGCUUUAUUGAUUCAGUAACAGAGGACAUUAUACAUGUUUUUAAAGCUGAUGUUAAUCUAUUUUAGUGCAUAGUGUGGAAGAUGUAUUAAUUUGUAGUUGUGUUCUCUUAUUUUAGUAUCUUUUUAAAGACCUUUAUGUAGUAGGGAUUCAAAUAUCAGCAAACCUUGGUUGAUGUUUUACAUUUUUACUGUCCAUUGUGAAGGACGUCAGCAUGGAGAAAUUCCUUGGUUUUGUUUAAUUAAUAAGUUGUGUCCUAAGCAGACUUAAAAUGAGCACAAUGCUUCUUCUAAAAUGUAUAUUAAUUACGAAAACUGUUUUUAAAUAAACUAAUAAAAAUACAGUA
Oncorhynchus kisutch (coho salmon) is the source of this 1310-nucleotide long non-coding RNA. RefSeq lists it as uncharacterized. The transcript has 2 exons. The record is from RefSeq and is a predicted model, not a curated record. NCBI's taxonomy places the organism in Eukaryota, Metazoa, Chordata, Actinopteri, Salmoniformes, Salmonidae.